RNAcentral lists this ribosomal RNA (230 nucleotides) under uncultured bacterium. Its description in RNAcentral is "partial 16S ribosomal RNA". It matches the Rfam family "Bacterial small subunit ribosomal RNA", at positions 202 to 435 of the family's 1533-position model. The record is from RNAcentral.
AAAGCCUUGGCGGUACAGGAUGGGCUCGCGUCUGAUUAGCUAGUUGGUGAGGUAAUGGCUCACCAAGGCUUCGAUCAGUAGCCGACCUGAGAGGGUGAACGGCCACACUGGAACUGAGACACGGUCCAGACUCCUACGGGAGGCAGCAGUGGGGAAUAUUGCACAAUGGGCGCAAGCCUGAUGCAGCAACGCCGCGUGAGUGAUGAAGGCCUUCGGGUCGUAAAGCUCUU